CCCAAGUCCGUGCCGGCAGCAGAGGGAGUACGGAUGGGGCGGGUGUGGUGCGGAGUUACUGGGCGGAAAGAGCGUGUAGGCGGUGUGGCGCGUUGGCUGUGAAAACUCACAGCUCAACGGGGAGCUUGCAGGCGAUACGGGCAGACUUGAGUACUGCAGGGGAGACUGGAAUUCCUGGUGUAGCGGUGAAAUGCGCAGAUAUCAGGAGGAACACCGGUGGCGAAGGCGGGUCUCUGGGAAGAUACUGACGCUGAGGUGCGAAAGCGUGGGGAGCAAACAGGAUUAGAUACCCGAGUAGUC
This 300-nucleotide ribosomal RNA is filed under the name uncultured Oligosphaera sp. RNAcentral's name for it is "bacterial SSU rRNA". It matches the Rfam family "Bacterial small subunit ribosomal RNA", at positions 496 to 795 of the family's 1533-position model. The record is from RNAcentral. Lineage: Bacteria; Pseudomonadati; Lentisphaerota; Oligosphaeria; Oligosphaerales; Oligosphaeraceae.